Non-coding RNA from Camelina sativa (false flax), 425 nucleotides. The record is from RefSeq and is a predicted model, not a curated record. Lineage: Eukaryota; Viridiplantae; Streptophyta; Magnoliopsida; Brassicales; Brassicaceae.
UCGUCGUCGUUGUCAGAGGAUCUUCUUAGUUUUCUCGUCUGCCGAUUUGCGUCAAUCGUUUCGUAAUCUCUUACCAAAUCGUUUGCUCUCGGCUUCUUCUCGACUCGACGUCACUGUUCCUACUCCUAACCGGCUUUUAGAUAAUGUCCGGCUCAACUUCUUCACUCGGGGCUCCUUCUGCCUAUAUCAGUCACGAGCUCGAGGAACUUCGCUCCAAACACGACCACCUUGAAAUGUUGGAGCAAUUGAUUAUGGAAGUUGUAAAGACAGAACAACGGACUCCGGUGGAGAAAUUGUUGCAAGGCCACCGUCUCCAGAGAAUGACCGAUUCUAUCAUACUUAAGUCUCGGGAACUUGUUCAAACCGAUGAAAAGGAGGAUGGUGAUGCAGUUUUAUCUGCAAUUUUGUCUCGACUGGUACAGGUU